Molecule: ribosomal RNA, 427 nt
Filed under: uncultured prokaryote
Description: bacterial SSU rRNA
Rfam family: Bacterial small subunit ribosomal RNA
Source: RNAcentral
CCAAGAAUAUUCCGCAAUGGACGAAAGUCUGACGGAGCGACGCCGCGUGGAGGAUGAAGGCCUUCGGGUUGUAAACUCCUUUUCUGAGGGAAGAAUAAGGCAGGGAGGGAAUGCCCUGCUGAUGACGGUACCUUAGGAAUAAGCCCCGGCUAAUUACGUGCCAGCAGCCGCGGUAAUACGUAAGGGGCGAGCGUUACUCGGAAUCACUGGGCGUAAAGGGCGUGUAGGCGGCCUUUCAAGUCAAAUGUAAAAGACGACGGCUCAACCGUCGGAAUGCGUUUGAAACUGGUAGGCUUGAACUUGGUAGAGGGUGAUGGAAUUCCCGGUGUAGCGGUGAAAUGCGUAGAUAUCGGGAAGAACACCAAAGGCGAAGGCAGUCAUCCAUACCGAAGUUGACGCUGAGGCGCGAAAGCGUGGGGAGCGAACA